Molecule: unclassified non-coding RNA, 654 nt
Filed under: Rhizoctonia solani
Lineage: Eukaryota; Fungi; Basidiomycota; Agaricomycetes; Cantharellales; Ceratobasidiaceae
Description: sequence contains ITS1, 5.8S rRNA gene and ITS2
Source: RNAcentral
GGUGUAGCUGGNCCUAAUUAACUUGGGGGCAUGUGCACACCUUUCUCUUUCAUCCCAUACACACCUGUGCACCUGUGAGACAGAUGUUUUCUAGAGGGGAAGGAACUUUAUUGGACCUACUAUUCUUGGACCUCGCUGACUACUUAUAUAAAAUAACCUCUUAUUAUUUUAUGAUGGAUGUGGAGGAAGCAACUCUUCUAAUACUAUUCUACAACGACGCUUUUGUUGCUUCUCUCAUUGAAGAACACCGCGAAAAGCUGCAAUAAAUGUUGAGAAUAGAAUACUUCGAAGCAUCGUCUCUUCGAUCGCCCCAUCUUGUCCUCGUUGUUCUUUGUAGCAUGCUUGCUGGAUUAUCAUGAUGUCUUCUUCGAAGACACACCUUUUAACUCCUCUGUUGCUGCUUUUUUGUUGUUGGACUACUGUUGCUUCUCCCCUGCUGCUCCUCUUGGAUUAUUAGCUGCACCUCGGUGUGAUGGUUGCCNCCCCUCGUGGUGAUAAAUUNUUUAUNGNUGACAACACCCUGUUAANAAGGGGNGACCGAAGUUGAUGAUGAUCANCCNCUACUAGCNGAUCCUCUUCUACGACUAUUAUUAAUUUGAUCAGAUCACCUCUCAUCAAGGACUACUACCCGAUCUUCUUCAUCUUAUNAAUAGG